UGCAGUAGAAAAACACUGGCUGUUUAUUAUAUCACCCUGUCACAGACUCUCCCGGUCGAUAAGAUUGCCUGCUGCAAUUGUUCGAGAGCUGUCCGAACAUGCAGCAUAGAAAAGACCAGUAAGGGGGGUCCUUAUUAGCAUCAUGCAGACAAGCCCUCGCUGUGAGCAUUCCUAUGAAUGGAACAGUCAGCCAUGUGUCGGGAAGUGUCCGGCCAGCGACCGUCCCCUGUCAACAGCAACAGUUUUCUCAAGCUCAUCAUUUGUACAAACACGGAAGUAUCUUUGGUGAGUGGCCAGGAGCUGACCUACGCUGCUAUGUACAUCAACGGGGCUCUGGCAAAGACCUCACCUCCAGCCUCGCCUCUUGCCUGCUCCCCAACGGUGGCCGACGGCGAGAACAGAAUUAGAUGCAUGAGAUGCGGAGAGACCGGGCACUCAACCCAUCCACUCAACCCAUCCACUCAACCCAUCCACUCAACCCAUCCACUCAACACAUCCACUCAACACAUCCACUCAACACAUCCACUCAACCCAUCCACUCAACAC
Oncorhynchus tshawytscha (Chinook salmon) is the source of this 546-nucleotide long non-coding RNA. The record is from Ensembl. NCBI's taxonomy places the organism in Eukaryota, Metazoa, Chordata, Actinopteri, Salmoniformes, Salmonidae.